UACGUAGGGACCGAGCGUUGUCCGGAAUCAUUGGGCGUAACGAGCGUGUAGGCGGCUUGUUAAGUCUUGCGUGAAAUCUCGGGGCUCAACCCCGAGCGGUCGUGAGAAACUGGCAGGCUAGAGUGCGGGAGAGGAGAGUGGAAUUCCUGGUGUAGCGGUGAAAUGCGCAGAUAUCAGGAAGAACACCCGUGGCGAAGGCGGCUCUCUGGAACGCAACUGACGCUGAGACGCGAAAGCGUGGGGAGCAAACAGG
This 253-nucleotide ribosomal RNA is filed under the name uncultured bacterium. RNAcentral's name for it is "partial 16S ribosomal RNA". It matches the Rfam family "Bacterial small subunit ribosomal RNA", at positions 524 to 776 of the family's 1533-position model. The record is from RNAcentral.